UCAUAGUACGUGAAACCGUUCAGGGGUAAACCUGAGAAAUCCGAAAGAUCGAAUGGGGACAUUCAGCGCGUCUCGUCUGGCGGCGAGUUCGGGUAGUGAGACUGUUGGGCGUUCGCGCUCAGCCGCUCCUAUCAAAGCCGUACCGCUGGUGAACGCGUGCACUUCUCCCCUAGUAGGACGUCGCGACCCGUUGGGUGCCGGUCUAAGGCCCGCGGUGGAGCCCGUCGGGAUACGGUUCAUCCCGUAUCCUUGCGGACCCGUGGUGUUUCCCCGACCGGCUCGCUCGACGGUAUAACGAUGGCGUAGGGUCGCGAAUGUUCGCGCCCGGCCCGUCGCAAGCGCGACUGUUCGCCCGUCUGUCGGACUUUUGUGCCGACAACGGGCGCGGUCGGCUGCUGGCGUCGGUGUCCUCGGGCGGGCCCAGAUACACGCCCGUCGGCGACGCUUUAGCUUUGGAUACUUUCAGGACCCGUCUUGAAACACGGACCAAGGAGUCUAGCAUGUGCGCGAGUCAUUGGGAUUAUACUAAACCUAAAGGCGAAAUGAAAGUGAAGGCCGCCCUGCGCGUGCCGAGGGAGGACCGGUCGGACUGUCAAGUCCGCGCCGUGCACUCCCGGGGCGUCUCGUUCUCAUCGCGAGUUGAGGCGCACCCAGAGCGUACACGCUGGGACCCGAAAGA
This 679-nucleotide ribosomal RNA is filed under the name Ochthephilum filum. RNAcentral describes it as "partial large subunit ribosomal RNA". It matches the Rfam family "Eukaryotic large subunit ribosomal RNA", at positions 390 to 823 of the family's 3401-position model. Lineage: Eukaryota; Metazoa; Arthropoda; Insecta; Coleoptera; Staphylinidae. The record is from RNAcentral.